ACGUUAGAACCAAAACCCAAAAUAAAUACCAAAUUAUUAAACCAAAGUCCAAAGAAUAAAACCAAAAUAAUAGAAUGUCAUAAAGGUCCAAAUAUUACAACCAAUAUUGAUACCCAAUGCCCCAUAGCCCAAAUACAACGGCCCAAUAACUGGAACAGACCCAAACGGCCCCAAAAAUUGAGCCAAGUUUCGGCAAACCCUAAGUCACCCCUCUCUCUUGCGCCGCAAUAGCAACUGGGCAAUGGACCCAUACCUCCACUACAGCAGUCCCAUACCUCCACAGCCCUCGUACGCCACGCCCCCACCCCGUGCGCAUGCCAACAGACUCUGUACCUGCAAGAAAGAAACAAAAACAACAGCGAAUGGAAACAAAUAUAUUGUAUAUUUUCGGUUGAUUUCCUUUUUCGACUAUAAAAGCCCAGCUUUUAAUCUUUGUAAGAGGGAGGGGGCAUAUUUUUACGAACGAAUACACAAUAGGCAAUACAAAAAAAAGCAAUAUUGGAAGGUGAUUUCUCCGAUCUAAAUCUCUGUGCUUUCUCUUUGUGAUUAUUUUCUUGCUUUUUUUUAUUUCGAAAGUAAAUAAAAGAAAAGGGGAACAUGAACACAGACGCACACAGAAUAUACACGCACAGAAAAAAAAAGCAAUUAAGAAUUUGCAAGGGUAAUCUCAAGUUUUCUUUCGUUCUUUCUUUUUUUUUCUUUUUUUUUUGGUUUAGAUCGUCUUUUAGUAGGUAAAUCGACUCCAAUGAGAUCCCGAAUACUUUAAGAUACAAAAGUAGGGGAGAGGGGUCAAGUGGUGUUGAAUCUCUAUUUUAUGAACUUUCUUCGUUUUUUUAAAAAAUGUAUGAGAUUUGAAGUUUAUUUUUUCUCAAGUAAAAAAGAAAAUACUUACUAAUUUCCUCAAGGCAUGGUCGAGUACUUACAGCAACAGAACCGGGAAUUGUUUUGCGCGCCGCUGGACACCAAAUCAGAUGGAGAUUCAGCUGCUUGUAAAAGGAACCCUAG
Molecule: long non-coding RNA, 1005 nt
Filed under: Gossypium barbadense (sea-island cotton)
Lineage: Eukaryota; Viridiplantae; Streptophyta; Magnoliopsida; Malvales; Malvaceae
Description: long non-coding RNA (GBAR_LNC006954)
Source: RNAcentral